UGUUAUUUAAAAAUAAAUGUGUUUAGAAUAUACUUUAACAACUGUUGUAUUACUUUUAUAGGGUUGUCAUACAGUGAUACUUGAUUGGUUUAUUACAAAUAGUGCUGUGUUGGUAGGAGUAGCUGGCGGUAUAGCUUGCUUUGGGGUAGGUUUGACAUAUAUUUUCUUUUAUGUAAAGCAAAGUAGAAGUUUCAUCUCUUUAAAGUUAAAACUAAUAAAUAUAAGGUUUUACCAUUGGAACAAGCAAAUGUAUGUGAUUGUUGAUAAAUCAAAAGAGCUUCCUAAAAAAACCCGUAACAAAUUGUACAAUAUUAUCAUGGUUAUAAUUUGAAUCUAAACAUAUUACAAAAUUAUUCCUUCUAUGAAUAUGUGUUACAAAAUAGAUUUAAACUGAUGACCAAUAAUCUGUGGUUUUUUUUUUAUCUAGAGGUACAAAUUUAAUAUUUUACACACUUCUUUUAUCAUGACUGGGACUAUAAAAUAUCCCUGUAAAAUCUGUUACAAAAAAGUCAUGAACAACUUUUGUACCGAUACAUAUUGACACCGUAUAUUAAGUUAAAUGCGAUUAUCACUAUAUACAAGUCAAAAUCAUAUUACCUGGAAUUCCAUGGGAUUGGAUAGAAUAUGCUAUGCACUUACAUUUUAGCCUUUAUCUUUAUCUUUAUUUGUCAUGUUAUUUUUAACAUGAAAAACAUGUCACUAUAAUGUAUGCAUGUAGUUUAAACUCGUUUUUAAAAUUAUUUAUUUAAAAAUAUUCCAGCCUCAGUAUAUAGACAUAUCAGUGUUUUAAAAAAAAUCUUACAUUUUUCAGAUUCUUGGAAUAAUAUUUGCGUCUAUUUUGUGCCGGAACCGGACAGAAUAUUAUGAUUGGGAAUGAUAAAUGUUAGCAGUGUAUUCACUGUUAAGUUUAUUCUAUUGUGAGGAAUUUUCUUUGACGUUUGCUGCUGGAAUUAACAUUGGGCCGAAAUUUUGUACGACGAUAUCAUCUGCAGCAAACAAUUGAUGCUAUGCAAAUGGUAUUCUUAUGAAAAUAUGUGAAGAACAACAUGUUGUGCAAGACAUUCUAAUUCAAUCGUUUGGUUAUAUAUGUUAUACAAAAUGUCAACAUAUACUUAUCGAAUAUUAAUACUCAACAAGCAUUAUUCAUUGAGCAUCAUGUAGUACAUUAUAUACUUUUAGUAUCGAAACUUAAUGUAAUAUGUGUUAUUGUGUAAUGCCAAUAGAAGGAAGGUGUCUUGUGUUUAAUUCUGAAUCGUCGGUUAAUAACAGAUUGUCUAUAUAAAACAUAUUGUUUUGGUUAUUGCUUUACAAUGUUUUUGGUUGGAUUGGCCUUUAUAUGUAAUCUAUCUAGUAGGCUCAACUGAUUUUUUUCCAAAAUUCUUUUUAUUUGAAAAUCAAAAUAUUUAUGUUUUUUUAGAACUACAAAUGUUAUGCAUUUUAUCAAUAAUUUAUUUCAUAAAUAUCAUAAUAGGUCCGAGUAUUAAAAACAUAGAUAAUAAUAUUUUCUUAAAAGGUUAUGAAUAAAACAAUAUCUCAAUACUGUUGGUCAACUUGUCUACUUACGAACAAAAUUAUACACACAAUACCCAUAAUGAUAUCCUUACAUAAAUUAUAUGUUGUAUCAACAUUAUUAGUUGAGUUGAAUAAAGUACGUUAAUGAUUAAAAAUGAUACAGAUUAUACGCAGAUGAGACAAGAUAUCAAUUUGCCACAAAAGCAAAAGGUAUGAAGUUAUCAACCUAUGGUAUUCAGUAAUAGACAAUUGCGUAUACAAUAUAAUAAGUUCAACUUGAAAAGUUGUAUAUAUAUCUAAUCGUGAAAAUAUCAUGACGUCAACUAGUAGAGCGAAUUAAGAAAUGUGUUUUUUUUUAAAUUGGUUGUUAAAAAAAUAAUUCUUUGCCUAUUUUGUUUGACUGUCAACGCCCAUAAUAGUUGGACACAAAUUGUAUGAUUCAUAUUGUAUCAAUUUUCAAAAUAAAUGCAUCUACUUUGUUCGGAAUCAGUUCGUAAAACGAUUGAAUUUUCAUUUGACACUAUUACUAGUAUUUAUAAUGGCUUUGAUUCCUUCAUAAAUUUUUAUAGAGGUUUCUUAAUUCAGAAACAGUCUGUAGAAGGAUUUUGGUUUUACUGCUUUGUAUUGUAGCAAUUUUAUAGAUUUUUUAAGUACAUGCAGCACCCUUGUUGGCUUUGAAUAAUAUUGUUUUGCAGCAUUUUUCAUAUACAUGUACAUAUAUCAUUUUCAUCAAACCAGAUUCAUAUAGUUUUCAGGUUUGCUAUGCUAGGCUCUGAUUUAUUUUCAAUAAAUGUUUGAAAUACGG
This 2317-nucleotide long non-coding RNA is filed under the name Mytilus galloprovincialis (Mediterranean mussel). The record is from RNAcentral. Lineage: Eukaryota; Metazoa; Mollusca; Bivalvia; Mytilida; Mytilidae.